GACAGAGGGUGCAAGCGUUGUUCGGAAUUACUGGGCGUAAAGGGCGUGUAGGCGGUUAGGUAAGUCUGAUGUGAAAUCACCAUCGCUUAACGAGGUGUCCGCAUCGGAAACUGUCUAACUUGAGUAUAGGAGAGGAGAACGGAAUUCCUGGUGUAGCGGUGGAAUGUGUAGAUAUCAGGAGGAACACCUGUGGCGAAGGCGGUUCUCUGGCCUAAUACUGACGCUGAGGCGCGAAAGCUAGGGGA
This 245-nucleotide ribosomal RNA is filed under the name uncultured bacterium. RNAcentral describes it as "partial 16S ribosomal RNA". It matches the Rfam family "Bacterial small subunit ribosomal RNA", at positions 524 to 767 of the family's 1533-position model. The record is from RNAcentral.